Corvus hawaiiensis (hawaiian crow) is the source of this 4639-nucleotide long non-coding RNA. RefSeq lists it as uncharacterized. The transcript has 3 exons. The record is from RefSeq and is a predicted model, not a curated record. Lineage: Eukaryota; Metazoa; Chordata; Aves; Passeriformes; Corvidae.
GGUGCGCCGGCGGUGACGCAGCGGGCAUGGCCCGCCCCGAGCGGCGCCUGCGCCAACGCGGGGCCUUUGGGGCCAAAGCAGGGCUUUGGGUUGAUUAAAACAACUCCCGCUCUGAGGACAUGAGCUCUGUCUCCACGUUCAGACAAAGGUGACAGUCCACCUCAGUUCCACCUCCAUCCAUCCAUCCAUCCAUCCAUCCAUCCAUCCAUCCAUCCAUCCCUACCUCACAUUAUCUCUGCCAGAGCUCCCAUUAAUUUUGCUCUAAGUAGAAAAGACUACUCGGGAAUACAUAAUAAAAGACAUAAAAUGGGCGUCUUUCUCCUUCACAGAAGGCGGCAGCUGAAGAGCGACCCAAAAAUAAAAUUUUGAUGAUAAAAUGAUACUUGCCAAAAAUCAUCUGCGCUCUACAGCUCUUCCAGAUUUAUCCUGUGAGAUACCCGCAGCCUCAGAGCAGAGUGACAGGAGCCGUUUCACAACACUACAUCACUGAAAGGGCACAUCUCUAAUCAGGACACCAGAACCAAGGGUGCUGUCUCCGAAAAACAGAGAUCAGAGGGUGUUCUUUGUAUUUGAAAAUGGUAUGAUUAACUGAGCACAAAAGAAGUAGCUCCACAAAAGAUUAGGAAAUAGGAUGCAAGAAAUGAUGACAGAAACUCCCAUCUGACAGUGUGAUGACCAUGCCAUAGGAUGAAAAAAGUGGCACUACAACAAUAAGCAGAGCAUGUGUUGCUCAAGGGAUUUCUCUGUGAGCCUUGCAAACAAUACUUCAGGGGUACAGAGCAGCCUCCUUCGCACUGAAAUGCAUUCCUCCCCUGAUGGAAACACCGCCCUGUGCAACAAUCGAGAAAAGGAAGUGCAAAAUUCAGGUUCCAGUUGAAAUUCCAGAUGUUGUUUUCCACGUGUGACAAUGUGCUGCCACAUCUGCUCCUGCAGGCCCCUCAUGGGAGUGGUGGGGAACAAGGCUGGGUGGUGGAGAGGUCACAGAUGUUCUCAUGUGUCACAAUGGCAUGAGUGAAAAAUAUCACCCCUCAGGCUAACACAAAUAAAGUCACAGAAGACUUGGUGCAUCAAAAUCACUGAAAUCACUACCUGACCUGAUGGUUCUGCAUUUGGUUUAAUUUCCAGGACAACUGCAAAGGCUAAAUUCACCUGGAUAAUACAAAGGGUGCAAAGCUGUAGGUGAUAGAGAAAAAUCUGCAGAGAAAAAAUUGCAGUCUUUCUAAGAUGCAGCAAGAUAACAAAGCCCCAGAGAACAUCAUACUGGAGUGUCAAUAUGACAAGGGAAAAAUUACCACAAGCAUCUGCCAGGAUCACUCCUGAGAGAAAAGGAAACAACCACUGAAUGCAUUUCUGCCCAUCUUACGUACAACCCAGAGACUAAAAAGAGCCCCCUGAAAUCUCUUCCCUUGGCCAAAUAGCAGGCACUGCAAUUUCCAUGAUAUCCAAAGAAAAAUAAACUCAGAGCAAUAGCAAAUAUAAAGAAAGAUAUGGAAAAAAUAUACCAGUGUACCAGUGAAAAAAGAUACUAAAUAGCCUCAGAGUUGAAUAGAGUCAUCAUCUAGCAGUUGUUAUGGCAAUAAAGCUUUCCCUUGCAUCUCUAUUCCAGUGCAUUUCCACCCACCCAUUCAAGGUAUUUUGGAGGCACUACCACCAAAAUCGUAUCUCUACUAACUUUCAACUUACAUUUUAGGACCUUCUUACAAACCACUCCAGAGAUGUACCAUGGCUUUUCCUCUUUUCAAAUGCUCCUGAUAUUCCAGAAAUCAGCUUUUUCAUCUCAUGUCCUGGAGAAGAGAAUCUGAGCCUCAUGCUUCUAGAGGUGAAUGUUGUAUAAAACCAAAAUGCAGGACUUUUAAAAUCAUAGCUAAAAAGAAUAGGGGAUAUUAUGUAGCUUUUGCAUGUUUGCCAAACAAUUAAGUUACCCUUCAAAGGGAAGGGGGAGGGGGGCGUCUAAGAACAAGGUUUACAGAACAAGGUUCCUACAAAUUGCAGGCCAGAUUAAUUCUUAACAUUGUUCCACUUACAAUGGGGGAAAUACUCUGUGAAUUAAGAUUUUGUAAAAGACUACUGAUUGCAACAAAAUCGAAUUGUACUCACAGCAUUUCAGGAUGGGAACUCACAUUAGAAACAAAGGGUAGGGGCAGGGGGGACUCCCACCUAGGGAGCAGGAAAUCAGAGAGGAGCAGAUAAUGGUUCCUGGCCAUUAACGCUUUGGGUAACCCUGUUAACCCCGUGGUCACCUCAGCACAGACACUGCCUGUCCUCUCAGGGAGCUGGCUGGGAACAAACUCCCUGGGCUCCCUGUCUGUGCUCAGGAGUGCUGCUGUUACACUCUUUGGCUCUGGUGUUCCACUGCACACAGAUAAAAACAAGAUUUCCUUAUUUUACUGAAGUCCAAGUUGCCUGACAAUGCGUGAAUUAAAUUCACUCAAUCCAUUCCAUAAACUGCCUUCUGUAAACCACUAGUAUUUCCACAUCAUUAUAUGGUAUAUUCAGUAAUCUGAUUGCCCUGGGAAUAUUUGUUUUUCCAAAACUUGUGGCCAAGGUACAUAAGAUUAGAUCAGACACAGCUUGUAUAAGAAUGCUGUUAUGGGGGUGUACAGUAUAUUUGCUAGUUUUGAGUUACAGGUAAAAGUUCUCCUUCAAACUCUUCCAGCCAGGGGUGCAAGCUCAGUUCCCUGAAGUUUUCUGCUGCAGCACUUGGAACCUUUAGUUUUGCUUUGCUCUUGGUGUUCUAAUACUGGAGGAUCAACAGGGAAAAUGCUGGUAUUGCCUCACUGAGGCUACGCCCAGCCCGUACCUCAGCAAAACUUGUGAUAUUUUAUAGGUCCCCACAAGUCUCUCUGGGAUUCACGCUCUUCUGCCGGGAUUUUCUCACCAUUCUGCGUGUUAACAUGAACCAACAGCUGGGUUUAGGAGAUCUGAUAUAAAUAGCAACAUCAUGCUGCGAGCAAGCUUCUUGGAAAGUAAAGAAAAUAUGUUAUUUAAUGCACUCUGGCAUUUGCCUUUCCUCCCCUCAUUCCUAAGAUGCACUUCUGUAAACACCCAUAAUGACAAAUGCAAAGAAGUUGACUUGUUCACAUCGACGUAACAAGUGCUGCCUUGAGCGCAGGAGAUGAUAUCCAGAGCAUUUUACCUCUCCCCUCAGCUGGCAAACCCUGCACAGCGGCGAAAAGAGGCAGAGUGUGGAUGGAAAUUCCUGCUUCCAACAGCAUUCAAGAUUACAACCUUUGGUAUUUUAUUUUCAUGGUUGCUCCAUGUUGCUUCAGAAACUUCCUGCUUUUGCCAUAUCUUUCCAUUCAUUAAAGUUGCAGCUUGCAAUUAAACAUUCUGACAUAACAUAGCUGAGAUUUUUUGGCAGCAGCCUUAACCAGAGGUUUUCAGAGUUUCCUGCAGACGGCUUUAAAUUUUCAUAUCCUCAUGAACGCUUGCCACCUUCUUUUAAUAACUUGAAAAAAUAAGCCUCUCUUAGGAACUUCAUUGUUGCUGUAUUUCCCCAGCACUCGGUUGCUGCUGUUAGCAAUGUGUCGUGCACAUGUAUAUUUAUAGAGGGAGCAAAGUGUUCAUAUGCACUCUAUAGUUUGACAUCUCAUAGGGAACACACAGAUUGCUUAGCAGAUCUAAAGAAAAAUAGUUAUGUUCAAUAUUUUCAUUAUUAAAAUGUAAUUUUCUCUUCUGACAGCAUUGUGUUAUUUCACCCCUCAAAAAUAAUCAUAUUUACUGCAUUAUUCAAAACUUACAGGCCCUCAUCUGUUAAUAAUUUUGUAGCUUUAUACAUAUUAUGACUGUUAUAUAUUGCAACACUAAACUAUUUGUAUUAUUUUUAUGCAACAAAAUAUUUCUUAGGAUAAAUCUUGACCUUUUUCCAAGGAGCUGGAAAUCACUUAAAAGGACUUUAAAGCUAUUUGUAUUUUUAAGGUGUAGAAUAUCUUUUAUAAUUUGGAGAGCUGUUCAAAUACUGCUUGCCAUUAUCUCCAAUAUAGAUUUGGAAUUUCUUUUAAAGGGGGUCUUUUUAAGGUUCAGACUGACCUUAAAGUCUUUUUUCUUCUAACAUUACCUGGCAAAUAAAUUCUUAAAGGGAUAUUAUCAACUUAAGACCUAUGCUUUAGUCUGGAAAAAUUUCCAAGAGAUUAAAGAGAAAAUGGCUCCUUUUUUCUAUACGUUUAAUUUCUAUAUUGGAGAGCAGUAUGUGUGGUCAGUAUCUCAUGCUGUUAGGAAACAAAAGGGACAGAAAUAGAUAUAGGAGACCAUAAUACCUGAAACGUUUUUGAACUACUUUUUUAAAGCAGAUUUGAAGUUGAUGGGGCCUCUUCAAGUGACAAAAGACUUGUGGAACUCUUGAAAGCCAGAUAAGUUGCGCCUGACUUGUGCAGAGCACCCUCAGCUCCCUCUGCAAUCAGCUAAAGCUGCUCUUAAAAUGCAAGUUUAAGUGUUAUUUUUCCUGCAUUUUGUCUGCUUCACUGUCAACUCACUGACCAAACUGCAAUACAAAAAGGCACCAUUUUUACCCUGAUCUGGUAGCCUUCAUAUCCAGAGCCUACAGUGGUUCUGCAGGAUCUGUUAGCGUGUACAAGGCACAACAAAGAAACUUUUAAAGGAGUUAACUUAUGGAAUAAAGUUUAAUUUUUAAACUUGGGCA